AAAGUAUAAUAAUUUAGUUGAACCCUUUGUUUUCCGCCAUGUAGAAACUGAAGUACCGGUAGAUUCAACGUUCACCUAAGAAGAUGCACUCCUACUUUCUUUAUGGAGUACUUGUGCAAUUGUUGAAAGUUAAAUAAAAAUGAACAAAUCCACCUACUUAAUCCACCCAAUCCCAACCCAAGAGAAAAAACAAGCAGCCGGUGUGGAUAUUUUGCUCUUACAGCGCCUUCAGCAAUCUGACCGAGGGUCUCGCAUCGUGUCAAUAUUGUGUUCUGCUGGUGUAAUAAUCGCUAUGGAGUUCUCUGGAGACCACACCUGGCUGGCUGUGUUGAGUUCUGAGCCUCUCAAUUGCAUGCAAGAGGCUGGAAAGAUUUGAGAGAAGAUUGCUAAAAGUACUUCAGGGGCCCUGGAGGCACUGA
This is a long non-coding RNA of Homo sapiens (human), 419 nucleotides long. RefSeq lists it as uncharacterized. The record is from RefSeq and is a predicted model, not a curated record. The transcript has 3 exons. Lineage: Eukaryota; Metazoa; Chordata; Mammalia; Primates; Hominidae.